This 107-nucleotide microRNA precursor is filed under the name Podarcis lilfordi (Lilford's wall lizard). The record is from RNAcentral. Lineage: Eukaryota; Metazoa; Chordata; Lepidosauria; Squamata; Lacertidae.
UCCUGCCGAGUGUCGGCUCGGUUUUUUCCCUUUUAUCCUGCAGGCGCCAAAUUCUGCGGGGCACCAGAAGGCUAAAAGGGAAAAGACCAAGCUGGUGCUUGGCAGAA